This 473-nucleotide ribosomal RNA is filed under the name uncultured bacterium. RNAcentral describes it as "bacterial SSU rRNA". It matches the Rfam family "Bacterial small subunit ribosomal RNA", at positions 335 to 800 of the family's 1533-position model. The record is from RNAcentral.
ACUCCUACGGGAGGCAGCAGUGGGGAAUAUUGCACAAUGGGCGCAAGCCUGAUGCAGCCAUGCCGCGUGUAUGAAGAAGGCCUUGGGUUGUAAAGUACUUUCAGCAGUGAGGAAGGUGGAUAUGUUAAUAGCAUAUUCAUUUGACGUUAGCUGCAGAAGAAGCACCGGCUAACUCCGUGCCAGCAGCCGCGGUAAUACGGAGGGUGCGAGCGUUAAUCGGAAUUACGUGGCGUAAAGCGCAUGCAGGUGGUUUGUUAAGUCAGAUGUGAAAGCCCGGGGCUCAACCUCGGAAUUGCAUUUGAAACUGGCAAACUAGAGUACUGUAGAGGGGUAGAAUUUCAGGUGUAGCGGUGAAAUGCGUAGAGAUCUGAAGGAAUACCGGUGGCGAACGGCGGCCCCCGUGGACAGAUACUGACACUCAGAUGCGAAAGCGUGGGAGCGAAACAGGAUUAGAUACCCCGUGUAGGUCAGUC